UUCUCACCAUCCACAUACACCUGUGCACUGUUUAGCCUGAGCCGGUUUUCCGGUCCAGGUUAUCAUUUCAUACAAACUCUAGUCUUAUGAAUGUAAACGUUUUAAUAACAUAAUAAAACUUUCAACAACGGAUCUCUUGGUUCUCGCAUCGAUGAAAAACGCAGCGAAAUGCGAUAAGUAAUGUGAAUUGCAGAAUUCAGUGAAUCAUCGAAUCUUUGAACGCACCUUGCGCUCCUUGGUAUUCCGAGGAGCAUGCCUGUUUGAGUGUCAUGAAACUCUCACCCUCUAGCUUUCUUAAUCGUGGCUAGCGGCGUGGACGUGAGCGCUGCUGCUUUGUUGCGGCUCGCUCGAAAUGCAUUAGCAGACCCUUUUCGUAAUCGGUUCCACUCAACGUGAUAAGUAUUUCGUUGAGGACAGUUGCAGCAAUGCGGCUGGCCGGGAUAAGAAAGGCAUAGUUGUCAGCUUCUAAUCGCCCUUGGGCAAUU
Molecule: small RNA, 485 nt
Filed under: Tausonia sp. MS-2015
Lineage: Eukaryota; Fungi; Basidiomycota; Tremellomycetes; Cystofilobasidiales; Mrakiaceae
Description: eukaryotic LSU rRNA
Rfam family: 5.8S ribosomal RNA (bases 117-270)
Source: RNAcentral